Molecule: non-coding RNA, 97 nt
Organism: Aspergillus melleus
Lineage: Eukaryota; Fungi; Ascomycota; Eurotiomycetes; Eurotiales; Aspergillaceae
Source: the annotation of a RefSeq genome assembly
GGCCUGCUGGCUCAAUGGUAGAGCAUUGCUCUCCUAUCUUUCCCCAAAAGGUUGGAGCGUUAGGCAAAGGUUGAGGGUUCGAGUCCCUCGUGGGUCG